This 279-nucleotide ribosomal RNA is filed under the name uncultured bacterium. RNAcentral's name for it is "partial 16S ribosomal RNA". It matches the Rfam family "Bacterial small subunit ribosomal RNA", at positions 506 to 784 of the family's 1533-position model. The record is from RNAcentral.
UGCCAGCCGCCGCGGUAAUACGUAAGUCCCAAGCGUUACCCGGAAUUAUUGGGUGUAAAGGGUCCGUAGGCGGACCUGUAAGUCAGGUAUGAAAGACCGGAGCUCAACUCCGCGUUUGUGCUUGAAACUGCAGGUCUUGAAUCAGGGAGAGGUUAGCGGAAUUCUAAGUGUAGGGGUGCAAUCCGUAGAUACUUAGAAGAACACCAAAAGCGAAGGCAGCUAACUGGAACUCGAUUGACGCUGAGGGACGAAAGCGUGGGGAGCAAAGAGGAUUAGAUA